This 496-nucleotide ribosomal RNA is filed under the name uncultured bacterium. RNAcentral describes it as "partial 16S ribosomal RNA". It matches the Rfam family "Bacterial small subunit ribosomal RNA", at positions 30 to 523 of the family's 1533-position model. The record is from RNAcentral.
AUUGAACGCUGGCGGAAUGCUUUACACAUGUAAGUCGAACGGUAGAGGGGGCAACCCCUCGAGAGUGGCGAACGGGUGAGUAAUAUAUCGGAACGUGCCCAGUCGUGGGGGAUAACGUAGCGAAAGUUACGCUAAUACCGCAUACGAUCUACGGAUGAAAGCGGGGGAUCGCAAGACCUCGCGCGAUUGGAGCGGCCGAUAUCAGAUUAGGUAGUUGGUGGGGUAAAGGCUCACCAAGCCAACGAUCUGUAGCUGGUCUGAGAGGACGACCAGCCACACUGGAACUGAGACACGGUCCAGACUCCUACGGGAGGCAGCAGUGGGGAAUUUUGGACAAUGGACGCAAGUCUGAUCCAGCCAUUCCGCGUGCAGGAUGAAGGCCCGCGGGUUGUAAACUGCUUUUGUACGGAACGAAAAGGUUUCCAUUAAUACUGGGAGCUCAUGACGGUACCGUAAGAAUAAGCACCGGCUAACUACGUGCCAGCCGCCGCAGUAA